UACGAGAGAGGCAAGCGUUGUUCGGAAUUAUUGGGCGUAAAGAGCGCGUAGGCGGCGCCACAAGUCACUUGUGAAAACUCUGGGCUCAACUCAGAGCCUGCAAGCGAAACUGUGGUGCUGGAGUAUGGGAGAGGUACGUGGAAUUCCCGGUGUAGCGGUGAAAUGCGUAAAUAUCGGGAGGAACACCUGUGACGAAAGCGGCGCACUGGACCAUAACUGACGCUGAGGCGCGAAAGCUAGGGGAGCAAACAGG
This 253-nucleotide ribosomal RNA is filed under the name uncultured bacterium. RNAcentral describes it as "partial 16S ribosomal RNA". It matches the Rfam family "Bacterial small subunit ribosomal RNA", at positions 524 to 776 of the family's 1533-position model. The record is from RNAcentral.